Molecule: transfer RNA, 72 nt
Filed under: Ovis aries (sheep)
Lineage: Eukaryota; Metazoa; Chordata; Mammalia; Artiodactyla; Bovidae
Rfam family: tRNA
About the family: Transfer RNA (tRNA) molecules are approximately 80 nucleotides in length. Their secondary structure includes four short double-helical elements and three loops (D, anti-codon, and T loops). Further hydrogen bonds mediate the characteristic L-shaped molecular structure. tRNAs have two regions of fundamental functional importance: the anti-codon, which is responsible for specific mRNA codon recognition, and the 3' end, to which the tRNAs corresponding amino acid is attached (by aminoacyl-tRNA synthetases). tRNAs cope with the degeneracy of the genetic code in two manners: having more than one tRNA (with a specific anti-codon) for a particular amino acid; and 'wobble' base-pairing, i.e. permitting non-standard base-pairing at the 3rd anti-codon position.
Source: Rfam by way of RNAcentral
UCCCAUGUAGCUCAGUCAGUAAAGCAUCUGCCUGCAAUACAGGAGACUUGGGUUCAGCUCCUGGGUUGGGAA